GCACAAGCGGUGGAGCAUGUUGGUUUAAUUCGAAGCAACGCGAAAGAACCCUUUACCAGGUCUUGACAUCCCGAUGCUAUUUCUAGAGAUAGAAAGUUACUUCGGUACAUCGGUGACAGGUGGUGCAUGGUUGUCGUCAGCUCGUGUCGUGAGAUGUUGGGUUAAGUCCCGCAACGAGCGCAACCCCUAUUGUUAGUUGCCAUCAUUCAGUUGGGCACUCUAGCGAGACUGCCGGUAAUAAACCGGAGGAAGGUGGGGAUGACGUCAAAUCAUCAUGCCCCUUAUGACCUGGGCUACACACGUGCUACAAUGGUUGGUACAACGAGUUGCGAGUCGGUGACGGCGAGCUAAUCUCUUAAAGCCAAUCUCAGUUCGGAUUGUAGGCUGCAACUCGCCUACAUGAAGUCGGAAUCGCUAGUAAUCGCGGAUCAGCACGCCGCGGUGAAUACGUUCCCGGGCCUU
RNAcentral lists this ribosomal RNA (462 nucleotides) under uncultured Streptococcus sp. RNAcentral describes it as "bacterial SSU rRNA". It matches the Rfam family "Bacterial small subunit ribosomal RNA", at positions 923 to 1382 of the family's 1533-position model. The record is from RNAcentral. Lineage: Bacteria; Bacillati; Bacillota; Bacilli; Lactobacillales; Streptococcaceae.